UGCGGUAUAGUGAAACGGAUAUAUAGAUCACGCUAGGCUCAUAUCCUGGAAAUUGGGGGUUCGACUCCCUCUACCGCAACCA
Molecule: transfer RNA, 82 nt
Filed under: Vibrio phage VPT02
Lineage: Duplodnaviria; Heunggongvirae; Uroviricota; Caudoviricetes; Demerecviridae
Description: tRNA-Met
Rfam family: tRNA
About the family: Transfer RNA (tRNA) molecules are approximately 80 nucleotides in length.
Source: RNAcentral